Molecule: ribosomal RNA, 465 nt
Filed under: Vreelandella stevensii
Lineage: Bacteria; Pseudomonadati; Pseudomonadota; Gammaproteobacteria; Oceanospirillales; Halomonadaceae
Description: partial 16S ribosomal RNA
Rfam family: Bacterial small subunit ribosomal RNA
Source: RNAcentral
CCUACGGGGAGCUGCAGUGGGGAAUAUUGGACAAUGGGCGAAAGCCUGAUCCAGCCAUGCCGCGUGUGUGAAGAAGGCCUUCGGGUUGUAAAGCACUUUCAGUGGGGAAGAAAGCCUUGGGGCUAAUACCCUCGAGGAAGGACAUCACCCACAGAAGAAGCACCGGCUAACUCCGUGCCAGCAGCCGCGGUAAUACGGAGGGUGCGAGCGUUAAUCGGAAUUUCUGGGCGUAAAGCGCGCGUAGGCGGUCUGAUAAGCCGGUUGUGAAAGCCCCGGGCUCAACCUGGGAACGGCAUCCGGAACUGUCAGGCUAGAGUGCAGGAGAGGAAGGUAGAAUUCCCGGUGUAGCGGUGAAAUGCGUAGAGAUCGGGAGGAAUACCAGUGGCGAAGGCGGCCUUCUGGACUGACACUGACGCUGAGGUGCGAAAGCGUGGGUAGCAAACAGGAUUAGAUACCCCUGUAGUC